This 523-nucleotide ribosomal RNA is filed under the name uncultured bacterium. RNAcentral describes it as "bacterial SSU rRNA". It matches the Rfam family "Bacterial small subunit ribosomal RNA", at positions 994 to 1514 of the family's 1533-position model. The record is from RNAcentral.
ACAACUCUAGAGAUAGAGCCUUCCCCUUCGGGGGACAAAGUGACAGGUGGUGCAUGGUUGUCGUCAGCUCGUGUCGUGAGAUGUUGGGUUAAGUCCCGCAACGAGCGCAACCCUUAAGCUUAGUUGCCAGCAUUAAGUUGGGCACUCUAAGUUGACUGCCGGUGACAAACCGGAGGAAGGUGGGGAUGACGUCAAAUCAUCAUGCCCCUUAUGAUUUGGGCUACACACGUGCUACAAUGGACAAUACAAAGGGCAGCUAAACCGCGAGGUCAUGCAAAUCCCAUAAAGUUGUUCUCAGUUCGGAUUGUAGUCUGCAACUCGACUACAUGAAGCUGGAAUCGCUAGUAAUCGUAGAUCAGCAUGCUACGGUGAAUACGUUCCCGGGUCUUGUACACACCGCCCGUCACACCACGAGAGUUUGUAACACCCGAAGCCGGUGGAGUAACCAUUUAUGGAGCUAGCCGUCGAAGGUGGGACAAAUGAUUGGGGUGAAGUCGUAACAAGGUAGCCGUAUCGGAAGGUG